GGGCAGUUACCAAAGUGGCCAAAUGGGGCUGACUGUAAAUCAGCUGUCUCCGACUUCGGGGGUUCGAAUCCCUCACUGCCCACCC
Molecule: transfer RNA, 85 nt
Filed under: Ktedonobacter sp. 13_1_20CM_4_53_7
Lineage: Bacteria; Bacillati; Chloroflexota; Ktedonobacteria; Ktedonobacterales; Ktedonobacteraceae
Also listed under: 4 other names
Description: tRNA-Tyr
Rfam family: tRNA
About the family: Transfer RNA (tRNA) molecules are approximately 80 nucleotides in length. Their secondary structure includes four short double-helical elements and three loops (D, anti-codon, and T loops).
Source: RNAcentral